CAGAGCAGCAGCAGCCGACACAGGCUGGGCUUGAGUAAAACAAAAGAGUUUCCCGCACGCUGGUUCGGUCCAAGCUGUGGGCGUGGCUUGGGGGCCGGGGCUGUGUCUGGGGAUCGCGUUCCUCGGGCCUAUGGAGGGCGUGGCCAGGCAGGAGGGGGCGGAGCCCAGACUCCCCAUUCCCCCGUCUCUGUGUGUGUCUCUCUCCUGUGCUGGUGAGUGUGUUUCCCCUUCUUUGUUCCCCAGUCUUUGUUAUUAGCCAUGCCGAGCCUGCUGCUCUCAGGGAUGAUGGAGAGGAAUGGGACGGUGCAGCUGAUGGCAGAUCUGGCCGGGAAGGAGCGGGUGGUGCUGGAGGAUGAGCGGGCUCUGCAGAUCGCGCUGGACCAACUGUGUCUGCUGGGACUGGGGGAGACCGAGGAGGAGAACAAUAACAACAGUAACAGUAACAGCAGCAACACCGGCAGCAGCACCGGCAGCAACGGCUCCGGACACCCCCACAAGGGCGAGACCAAGUUGUGUUCCCUGUACAAAGAGGCAGAGCUCCGGCUCAAGACUUGUAACACUACCGAGUGUGUCCCGGUGCCCAGCUCCGAGCACGUGGCCGAGAUUGUGGGGAGACAAGGUUGCAAGAUCAAAGCACUACGAGCCAAAACUAACACCUACAUCAAGACGCCGGUACGAGGUGAAGAACCAGUGUUCAUGGUGACGGGUCGCAGAGAGGACGUGGCCAUGGCUCGGCGUGAGAUUAUCUCCGCCGCUGAGCACUUCUCUAUGAUCCGAGCAUCUCGUAACAAGGCCGGCACAGCAUUCGGCAGUGCCCCGGCCCUUCCCGGGCAAGUCACCAUCCGCGUGCGAGUCCCUUACAGGGUGGUUGGCUUAGUUGUAGGACCCAAAGGAGCCACCAUCAAAAGGAUUCAGCAGCAGACAAAUACUUAUAUAAUCACCCCAAGUCGGGACAGGGACCCCGUGUUUGAGAUCACUGGGGCACCCGGGAAUGUGGAGAGGGCAAGGGAGGAGAUAGAGACCCACAUCGCAGUGCGCACUGGUAAAAUUCUAGAAUACAACAAUGAGAAUGACUUCUUGUCUAGCAGCCCAGACUCUGGGAUGGAAAGUCGGUACCCGGAGAACUGGAGGGUGCACGGAACUGCAACUGGGUGCAAGCCCCUGUCCACCUUUCGCCAAAACAGCCUGGGCUGCAUCGGAGAUUGCCCAACAGAGCCCGUGUACGAGACCCCGAGGCUAAAUGAUCAAAAUGAUUUCAACUACGGCUAUUUGUUCCCCAACUACAAGCAAGAGGUAUACUACGGUGUGACCGAGUCUGGGGGGCCGAUGUGGGGGGGACAAGAGAACACCAACCCGGCCCCUGGUAUCUUUACAAAGCAACAACGUUCUGGGAGCACCGGCAGUGUACAGACCACCACCACCCAGCGUUCACCAGAAAACAGCCUUAGCACCCUGCAAAGGAGAAGCCAAGGGGAAGCUCUGCCCGGCUUCACCAAGCUCACCGCCACCCGGACCUCUGUCUCCGAAAGCCGGGAGUGCAUGGUGUGUUUUGAGAGUGAGGUCACGGCUGCACUGGUGCCCUGUGGGCACAACCUUUUCUGCAUGGAAUGUGCCGUGCGCAUCUGUGAAAGGAACGAGCCUGAAUGUCCAGUUUGCCACUUGUCGGCAACUCAGGCCAUCCGAAUAUUUUCUUAAAGAGAGACACAGUGGGUGAGGGGGUGGGAAAAUGUGGACUCUUGGUGCAUAGAGGUCAAAAGACAAUAUCUCAAAAUUCCUCAAAAAAACAAGGAAGGAUUGUCCCCUUCCGAUGGGAAAGUCUUGCAGACAGAACCUUUACUUUGGCAAGGCCAUUGGGGGGUCCUAGACUAGAACACACAGCUGUUUACUGGACAUUUAGAGGACUCCACUUUACCCGCUCUCAUUUUGCGGUCUUGCCGCCCGUUGAUCUGGAUAUCGAAGUCGCUGAUCAAAAACAAAAAGUGCUUUUCAAGAAUAUGUUUUUGGCAAGUUUAUCGAAGCCUGGGAAGAAUCAACUUCAGGGAAGAACCAAGGAGGAUGGGUUUGCUCUUCAGAUUUGGGAAAGAGUCGAGUCGCUCCAGUCGCCAACGUUUUAGUAGCUGCCGUCUCCCAAACAGCCCUCUGUGUUUUUGUAUGUUUUUGUGUUACGGUUGUUGGUUUCAUGGACAUCGACAACGUUUUACAAGGGAAGGAGAGAAUAAAAAUAAAAAAAGUUCAGAAUUGGUUGCAGUUUCAACUCAACAAAUUUAAGAGGUUCCUGUAGACAAAUGCUUAAAGUGAGGCCAACUUUGGCCUUGUUCCGGUCACAUUUCUUGGUGCACAGUUGGAGAUAAGCCUCUCUGAAAGACGAGAGGGUAAGAAGGCAGAAGGGCUAUAUCAAAGGAUAUUAUCUGCCUCUCCUGAUGGCAACAUGGUGGGCACUCAGGGUUCAAUUCAGGUCUCUCAACGCUGGCAUCAGCCGGCCUCCUCUUCCUACAUUCAUCACUACCUGGCUAAUGAAUAAUAGGAAUCUGUCUUUCAUCAAUAAUUGCAAAAAAAUAAUAAUAAUAAAACACAAACUGUUUAUCAAUCUCUGGGAACCUUCAACAUGAGGACACAACGAUUACCUCAAACUCAACUUAAAAAGCAGCUAAAUCAACUGUGUGCAGUUACCAUGUCACGUGCUGUAAUGUUUCAUAUUCAAAAACAAUCCUGAUGGGUUUUAGGACCACAAUGAAAAAAAAAAAAAUACAAUAAUCAGGACUAUGUGCAUGUAGGACAUUUUUGGUUAUUUUUGUUAUUUUUUUUUAUGUGGCUCUGACUUUUAAUUUUACUCUGCACUGCAGUGGGGGGCGCCCUUGCUUGACUUCCUCCACAACGAACACGCUUCCCUCCAGAACCAACCGAUUGCAUAUUUUUUGGUGGGAGGGGAUGCUGACCGUCAACGUUCCACUUGUGACUUGAGAACUCUUCCUCAAAAUGCAGAAUAUUAAAAGAAAAACUACAAAUAUGAAUAAAAUACGAAAGUUAUUUUGCUUCCUGCUAAGCUGGACCAGAACAUUUUUACUAGAAAAAAAAUAAAAAAAACAAAAAUGUUGAGAAAUGCAGAUGUGCUGGACCAAAGUUACACUCUCUAGGGAAUGUCUAGUGGGCAUCAGGUUCACUAAAUCUGCCCUUGUGAAGAUAUUUCAGAACAUUGUGUUGGAGUUGGGACUGUGGGGUUGUCCUAUUCCCCAUGCACAACGGAUGUCAUCCAAUACUCUGAUAACAUUGGUGAGAAUUUGGGAUAUUUAAGGACUGCUCCAUGUACACAAUUAACACUCAGAUUUUCCCCCUUUACUCCAAUUGGGAAAAAGAAGUUUUUAACUUUUUAUUUUUUUUAAUUUAUUUCAAUAUUUUGGUGCUUCCUGGAUAUAUAAAUUUCCCUCUCUGCCCGAAUUAUUUUGAAAUCCCCAUGUCCAUGAAAUAAUAUUUCUUUUUCGGGGGGCUGUUGGGAUGGGUGGGAGGGUUUUAUCAAAUAUCCAGUUUCCUGGUUCAAUAUCGAGACUAUUGUCCAUUUGCUGAAUUGAGAGACAUGUUAAUCGCUUUCCAAUGAAGAUGGGCUCAAGUGAUCCCAUUCCUAGCAGAAGGCCUUUUUCCCCUCAGAAGGCCUCGUUCUCCUGAUUUUCUGGGAGGAAGGAGCCCAUCUUGAAUGCACCUUGCCCAGAGUGAAUCCUGCUUCCCUAGCCAGUGAAAAGUGGGUGCCCAACUGUGAUUCCCACCAUUCUUCAAAAGCUCUCCUUAACUGUGAGGUUUCAGUCUUGCUUUUAGAGGAGACAUAUUGAAAUAUUUUUGAAGGGUGGUGGGAGGAAGAGUUUGCCCAGAAUGCCUUUAUUUUAUUGUCAUGGCUUCAAACGAUGUAGCAUCCUUGUUACAGUUUAGCAGUAUUUGAAGUUUCUUUUUAUUUUAGUUUUUAUUUAAAAUUUUAUUAUGCUAAAAUGUAGCGAUUAACUUGAGAAGAAGGGACCUUAAGUAAAAAAAAAGAAAAAAAUCAGGUCAGAUUUUUUUUGGGGGGGGGGGGCUGCUUAGACUGUGGCUGAAAGUCUUUGGUGGGAAUGUAACCCUUGCACUGAAGCAUUCAUCUCAGCAGUGAAGUCCUCAGACGCAGCAGCCCUCUCCAAUGGAAGCAUUGCUUUGGGUUGAUGGCCUGGGUAGUUAUCUCAGCACCCUUUUUUUUAUCAAAGAGAUCUUUCCAUUGGGUUGAUGGUCUGAGUAGUUCUCAACACCCUUUUUUCUCCAAGAGAUCUUUCCAUUGGGUUAAUGUCUCAGCACCCUUUUUUAAUCAAAUAGAUCUUUCCAUUGUGUUCAUGGCCUGGGUAGUCAUGUCAGCACCCUUUCUUCUCAAAGAGAUCUUUCCAUUGGGUUGAUGGCCUGGGUAGUUAUCUCAGUAUCCUUUUUUCUCAAAGAGAUCUUUCCAUUGGGUUCAUGGUCUGGGUAGUUCUCAGCACCCUUUUUUCUCCAAGAGAUCUUUCCAUUGGGUUAAUGUCUCAGCACCCUUUUUUAAACAAAUAGAUCUUUCCAUUGGGUUCAUGGCCUGGGUAGUUAUCUCAGCACCCUUUCUUCUCAAACAGAUCUUUCCAUUGGGUUGAUGGCCUGGAUAGUUAUCUCGGUAUCUUUUUUCUCAAAGAGAUUUUCCAUUGGGUCGAUGUCUCAGCACCCUUCUUUUUUUUAUCAAAGAGAUCUUUCCAUUGGGUUGAUGGCUUGGGUAGUCAUCUCAGCACCCUUUUUUCUUAUCUAACAAAGGCAACAAAUUUAGCCAGCAAUGUGGCUCCAAGCCAAGCUCUAAUUUUUUUCAAUGGGAAUUACAUUUUCUCAAUGUGAACUACCCUAUAUUUUAGCCCCUCUAGCGGCUGUAGGGCACGGCAACAUAUUGCUGGUUUCAGUUGGCAUGAGGAGGACUGGCAUUAUAAAUCAACCAGAUAUUAUUGCAUUGUGUUCUAACUUGUUCACUGGCAGAGCUGUCUUUAGAGGGUCCAAAUAGUAUUCUUAGGACCCCCACACUGGUGACUAAUGGCAAUGUAAGAUGCUAAGAGUAGAGCAAAACAAUGUAUCCGUGUUGCCCAACCUCAGUUCCUUGUUUAUUGUUGAAGUGCAAUUUCUGCCACUCGCUCAUGAUCAAAUGUGUUGGUAGUUGAACCUCAGUAACAGCUAAAGGGCCAUAAAUCAAUGUAGUCAUCUUUUAUAUAAGGGACUUGAGCCCUGCUAAAGACAGCUCUGUAUGUUGGUUCCUCUUCAGCCAAGAAAGCUAUGUUUGCCGAUGAGGAAACUUUAGAGUGGAGGUAUCAACUUAAUCAGCAUUGCAAUGGAAAGAUGGCAGGCUAAAAAUGUUGCCUCUCUUUGAUCAAUUUGAUCUUUGCAUUAUUCAUUGACCUACUGUAAACUGGCUCUUCUGACCCCCACCUCCCCCCAAAAAUGCAUUGUUUUGCCAUUGCAGAGGUAUCCUAAUAUAUUUAUCUAUGAGAAACCAAAAUGUUCUUAUGGUAUCAUCAUUAGAAGCAACCUACGCUGAGCCAGAUUACUUGCAUGGUAUUUGUUGGGGGUGGUGGGAACUAAUUUAUUUUAAAGUUGCCUGACAUGUAAGGAACUUUGCCGCCCAUGAACCAAAAUGGGGUUGUGAAGAAGCAGCAUGUUAAGGGGAAAAGUAAGCCAAUGGAUAUUAAGCUCUGUUGGCCACGCUGAGCUCAUAUAUAUAAAUAUAUAUAAGGCACCUUUUAUGGGGUCUCUCAUGACCCAUUGCUGAUCACCACUUAAUCUCUAUAACGCUUCGCCUGGGAAACACAAUAUACUAUGUCAAUACAUUUCAGAAUUAUAUGUGAAUCUAGUAGGGGACGUGGCAUUUUGGAGUGUCUGUUACUGUUCAUCCCAGUCUUGGGAGGGGGGGGGCUCAUUCAUUAACCCGAAAAAUAGGGGGAUGUCAAUACUAUGUCCCAACACCACAAUGGAAUAUAGGCGUGGAGGUGAGAGCUGUCCACUCAGAAAACGGAUGGCUAGUUCUAGUACGAAAUACUUUGUUGACUCUAUGAAGAUGAAUGUAGAUAGAAGGGUAGACAACCGACAUAUUGGGGUGUCUGAUUGGUCCAUGUGUCCGUGCUAGUCCUCAUGGAUUGAGGUUAUCUGCAAAUCUAUGGGAAGGUUGGGGUACAGCGGUAAGAAUAUGUGUCGGGCACCCCAAUCAUGGGAUGGUUUCCAAUGAUGGGAUCCUUAAUCCAAGUUCAUUGAAGGCAUUGCUUGAUGCUGGCAGUACCAAUGGGAGGAAUUAUUUUCAAUAUAAAGUGUGAUUCUGUGCAACACAUCAUGUCUGACUCAGUGACGUUGAUCCUACACCAGGAAUGUCCAAACCGUGCCCCCGAAACUGUUACUGCACUCAAACACCCAUCCAAUAUGGUGGUUGGAACUCAACGAUGACAAGACGUUGACGGUUUGGCCACCCCUGGUGUAAAAUCCCUAUUCAGAUGGGAGAGCUCAGUUGAAUUCAUUAUUUGCCACUAAAGGAUGACAUUGGGCAAUAAGUGUGACGUUGCCCAGUCUCCCGUCUUCGAUGCCUUUAACCAUUUGAUUGCUGGUGAGGACUGAGAUGGAUUGCCAAGCAAUAGUCUCCAAAGUCCUUCUUAACCUAAACUGCACCUAUUCUUCCAAAAGCUUUUUUUUUUGCCAUUUCCAUUUCAGAUUUAAAUAUCUUAAUAUGUUAACCCCCAGCCAGGGCUACAAAAAUAGGCACUAAAAAAAAAAACUUAUAGAACAAAAUAAAAUAUACUGUGAUAUGAUCAUCAGAAAUUAUAUAGAGAAUAGUUUGUAUUGUUCUACACAAAAACCAAAUUUGUUUUAUAUUUGAGGAGCAGAAUAAAAAAAAAAAUUGUUCCCUUUGCCCCACUACGGAAAGGUAUUUUAAAGAAAAAAUUUAAGAGGAAAAAGUUGUUUUUUUUUUAAAUUUCAAAUUCUAUUACUGACCCGUGAGGAGGCCAAGACUGUUAAAAAAGAAACGAAAAACUGUAUUUCAUUUGCGAGUUUUUAAAUUCAAUUUUAAAAAAUGUUGAAAACUGUAAAAAAAAAAAAAAAAAAAGACACUGCUUAAAAAAAAUGAGAUCUUUUCUUUAUAAUUUAAUAUUCUAUUUUAAUAAAAUGCAUUUAUUACGUGUAACUGUUACCAGGACGGAACGAAAAAGAAAAAAUACUUUUUAUUGGGUAAUUUAUUAAAAAGAAAGGAUUUUAUUUUAUGAUAAAGUAAUCCUUGAGAUUUCGAAAGCAUUAUAGUUAUGUAGACAGGAGAAAAUAAAAAUAAAAGUUUUUGUAGCCAGAAUUAAACUUAAAGUAUUUCUUUUUACAUAACAAAAUUUGAAUUUUGUUUUAGUUGAAAUCUCAUUUUUGUUGUGUUAGUGCGGGGAAUAUCUCUGAUGACUUAGCUAUCGGUUUCUUGUCUAGUGAUCACUUCAUUGUUGGGUAGAGUACUGAGCAAAUUAACUCCUUCAUGCCUACAUGAAACUUCAUUUGAUGCCUUGGUGUGAGUGUGCGCUCACACUCGAGGAAAUGAUUUGACCCACCAGCGAUGAAGGGGCUUUAUUGCGCGUGUUGUUUUAGUGAUGUAAAUGCAAUAUUUUGUAGCUGGGGGAGGGGGCGGGGUUAGGGUCUACUAGGCGCUUCUACGGUGAGAUAGAUAGUUCAAUGUCCGCUUUCAUUUCAACAUUUUUCUUGGGUGGGUGGGGAAAGGGGUGGAGUUGGGAGAGACAGAAAAAUUAAAUUUUUUUGUUGCUUUAACAGUUCUGAAUUGCCAUAUAUUUUUAUUAACCUAAAUUUUUUAAAAAUAUUUUUUUGCGAGCGGGUAGGGUGGGAAGGGUGCAGUUCACGUUCAGGAAAAGCAUUUGUUUCGUUCUCGUCUCCCAUCUCCAGGCGUCAGUAAGGGGGAACAUUCAUCCAGAACAUAACAUUCCGCAUGCUAUAGACCGUAGUGGUAGAAGUAUCUUUGCAACUGGUAUUAUUUCUUUUUAUCUAAUUCAACCUACAAUUCCAGCUAUUUCAGUGGCUUGUAUCUACUGAUGGGGCUCAUUUUGGUCAUAAUGAGAGUUGCGGUUUAUUUUCUAUUUGCAUUGGGGCGCCACCUCCCAUUGGUCGGUGCAUACCAGCUGAGAACAGUCAUGCAGUGACAUUUUUGGCCUGCAGAGGGUGCUAUAAUUGGAGCAGAAACUUUUUUUUUUUUUUUUUGCCAGUAUUAAUUUAGUCCAGUUCAAAAAGACACGGGAGAUAUCACAUUUUAAUUUAGAAGAUAGCGUAUUGCACACGUAUAAGUGCUGGGCAAACUUUGCUUUUUGUUAAUGUUGCUUUAUUGGGUGAUUAAUAACGUCAUGCUUCCAGGGGCUCUUUUUGCAAGAGUACAAAAAAGCCAAGACUGUUAAACUUGAGUUCCAUCUGAUUUUUAUCACCCCAGCGUUGGCCCGGAGGCCCACAGAGGCUUCCACCACAGGGCCCCCCACCGAACCCCUUACCUCUGCUGUCCACCCCCUAGAGGCCACCACCCCUCUCUAUACCUAUGCUGUAGUUGCCAUCGGGAAGCGAUCUUGGGGCAGCGUGAGCCACCAUUUUUUUUACCCGGUGUCCAGCUGGCCCAGUCCGACCCUGUGUCACCCUAACUUGCAGUGUAUGUAUUAUAAGGCAAUAUCGGGGGACACUUUUUAAAGAUUAAUGGUACCCAACAUUUGGACCCCUUCGGUUGUUGUUGUUGAACAACUUAAAUCCCCAACUGACAAAGACUUCAAAGGAGCGCAGGUUGUUGUUAGCUGAAGCUAAAGGGCAAUAGGCUAGCAUUUCUAAAUUUUAUAUAAACCUUGGGCCCCAAUAAUGUUAGGGUUGUAAGACUAAAGAUAAACGUGACAUUAAAGCAUUCCAGGGAAAGGAUUAAAUCCCAAUCUUAAUGGGUUACUUGUCUGAUUUUCACCUCUUCCGCUCCUGGGGAUGGUGGGAGCCGUAUGUCCAACUCAAGGAUAAUGAAGGACAUGCUUGUGUCGAUGCGCAUUGAUCGGACGUCUAGACAUGGUUUAGAUAUUGUAUGUGUGCAAGCAGAAUACACUCUUUAAUAUAUUCUACAAUUUAAAGCUUUCACGUAGCACCAAAACAUUUAAAACAAAAACAUUUUUUAAGCUGUUGUGUCCUACAAACAAUUCCAGUCCACCUUUCACUAGAACGGGAGCAGUAGCCUUGUGUGAUGGGAGAAAAAGAACAAACAUCUCAAAAGCCAUCCUUGAAGUAUUUUUUUAAUAUAUUCCCUUACCCCAAGCCCUAUGACUUUAGAAAACCACUUUUAGUGCCCCAAUUAUAUUUCUAUAAAGUAAAGCUGAUCUAAUUUUUUUUCCCGCAUAGCCUCUUUACAAUUGGAUAGCACUUUCAGCGAUACGUCGACGACCUUUUUUUGUUUUUUUGGCUUUUAGAUGCAUCUUUGUGUGGAUGGCAGAUUUUUUUUGUCUUCUGCCGCUUGCAUGGCUUUUUCAAGUCCUGGCACUUUUGUAUCAAAAUGUUUAUUUUUAAUCCAAAAAAAAAUACAUUUUUUACAUUUUCAGGUGACAUUAUUCUACAUUAGGUAAAAAUGUGGGGAAAGACAUAUUAGAGCAGAUAUGCAUUCACCUGCAUUUAUUAGGGGUUAGUAGUUGGGGGGGUAUGUUAAGUCUAAAAGCGAUUUGAAGACCCUUCUUCAAAACAAAAAUUCCAUUAAUUUCCCCCAUUUUUUUUCCUCCAGUGCAUGAUGAUAAUCCAAUUAAAUAUCUUACCCCAUUUCACCAUGUCUUUUGUAUGCUAGAGUGAGAAAAAGGAGUGGCCAUUGACCAUUAAAGUAACAGCCAUGCCCCUCCCCUUUGUAAAACUAUAGCAUUGUAGUGAUGAUGUCAUAAUCAUGUAGUGAUGUCUAUCUGCACUAAAGCUCUUGCCAGACUGGAAAGCUUCAUUCUAUAUCUUACUACCAUGAAAAUGUUACAACCCAAAGCGUUGCAUGCCUUUGAAAGUAAAAGGGUUUUUUAAAAACCUUCCUUUUUUUUUUUUUUUAAUGAUUGCAGGGUGAGAGGGUCAUUGUUUGUGUGUUGCUGUGUUUUUUUUUUUUUUGUUUCAACUAUGUUACCAAAAGAUUAAAUAGAAGGAUUUAAUUAACAAAAUGUAUAUACAUUUUUGGAGGAUUUUUUUAUGUUAAAUCAGCAAAGCUGUUAGUAACUUAAAAGAGAUGCAGCAGCCCAGCAAUAAACCAUGUGCACUAAAGUAAACAGAAAAAAAUUUGCAAAAAAGAGAAAAUAUUACCCACAGCCAAAUGUAUAAAGGUGGGGAGAAUGUCUGUAACUCCUUGCAUUAUAAAGGGUUAAAUACCCCUAUAAAUUGUUUUUUUACUUCUUUUAAAGUGUCUGGGUUUGGAAAGGUUAUCUUAAAGGGAAAAUAUGCCUUUUUCAGGCCUUUCUCACCCUAAACAAUGAUAUUUUCUGACAAAUCUUAAGUUAUUUUUGUUUUCCUGUAGGAAUUUUAAACCAAAAAAAAGUUGUAUGUUUUGUUUUGAUAGAAUUUUAUCGACUGUAUUCCCGCCGGACAGGUGCGCUUUUGUUUAAUUUUUUUUUUUAAUAUAUUAUUAUAGUUUUUUAUCAUAAAAAAAGUUCCUAAUAUAGCACUUAAUAUAUUGGAAGGAAAAAAAUUAUCUGAGCUGGGUGGCAAAUUGUUUUUUUUUUUUUUUUGCCCAGACUUUGUCUAGCAUAGCUUUAACAUUUAGGGCCCGGAAAAUAUUAAAUUCUGAGCCAAAAAAGAAAAAAAAUACUUAGGAGGAAACCUAAACUGUAGAGUAAGCUUUUUUUUUUUUUUUUUUAAAUAAAAACAAAACAUGAAAAAAAGUUUAUAUAGAGGAUUAAAUACGACCUGAAUGGCUAUGUAAUACUUGUAUGAAAUGGGGGAUUUAUGACAUAUAUAGCUCUUGGUGUCUAUAAGAUGAUCACAGUAUGACGGUAAUGUUACAGCUUUUCAUUUUUAAAAACAUUUUUUUUACCUCAUAAUAAAAAUCCUUUUUAUGUUCAAAUGAUUAAAAUUGACAGUGGAGGGAUUUUUAAUUUUUUUUUUUUUUUUUUUUUUUACUUUAACAACUUGAACAAAAGCUCUGAAUUAAAUUUUUGUUGAUAUAAUCAUACUCCAUGCACUUUAUAUUCUGUUUUAAAUUUUUUUUUUUUUAAAUACAUUUCAUUAAAAAAAUAUAAGAUUUGGGGAGAGAAAAGCAUAUAUGCAUAAUGAUAAAAAUAUAUAUAUAUAUAUAUAUAUAUACCAUGGAUUUAUUGCUUGUUCAGGAAAAACAAAUGAGAUAUUUAAUGGGUAGUGUUCUUCCGCCUAUUUCAUAUUCUUUGCUCAGAAAAAAAAAGGCACCUGACUUGUAUGCCCCCCGUGUCAUAACUAUUUCCCCUUUCAUUUUUUAUUGUGUCUAUCAGUUCCCCCAAAUAAUUUUUUUUGUAAGUGACUGCUUUGUAUAAGAUCAAAAAAUAGCAAUGCCUAGUGUUUUUAUUUCAAGUCUUACCAAUAACGGCCCUUGACAUCUGGAGAGAGAAGAAGCUGCCAUACGUGUUUCUCCAGAUAAGGCUAACAUUGCUGCACUGAUAGCAAGUUUCCUCCAGGUGUCACCAGCGAAUCAGUGGGCAUCUCAUUCCAUUUGGGAACUUCACGCCUCCCCACCUUGAUUCCUGCACUGAAGGAGACUAAGCCCUUCUAAAUGAUAUCGUAUCCUUGAAAAUGCAUCUCACAUGACCCAUGAGCUCUUUGCAGAAAGUAGGUUUUUUUAGCCCUGUUUUUAUGGAUUUUUGUUUUUUUAUUAUGCAGAUAGUUAAAGCAUACAUGAUGUUGCACAAAUUGUAGAAAACAAAGAAGGGAAGGGUUAAUGUAUUAAAUGUGCUGAAUUGACAUUAAGAACUUAAUUUUAUUAAAGUAUUAUUACUUAAAAAA
Molecule: RNA transcript, 11970 nt
Organism: Xenopus laevis (African clawed frog)
Lineage: Eukaryota; Metazoa; Chordata; Amphibia; Anura; Pipidae
Gene name: RNA-binding protein MEX3A-like
Exons: 2
Source: RefSeq, a predicted model, not a curated record